AGGGGUUUCGACUUGACUCCGACAGGGCGGUAGCUCGAUCGGAGAUUCGGCUAUGACGGCCGACCACAUAAGCUGGCCGGCGAUGAGAUUCGACCGGCAAGCUUUCCUUCUUUUUUUUUAAUUUUUUAAAAAAUAGAGGAUCCAUCCUCUUUCUUCAUGAUUUUCGGCCAUUGGCCGGUCGCCGGCAACCAAGCACUCAAGGGAAGAGAGAGAUAAAGGGAAAAGAGUCCUAUCCUAGGGGUGAG
This 245-nucleotide long non-coding RNA is filed under the name Elaeis guineensis (African oil palm). RNAcentral describes it as "long non-coding RNA (EGUI_LNC041722)". Lineage: Eukaryota; Viridiplantae; Streptophyta; Magnoliopsida; Arecales; Arecaceae. The record is from RNAcentral.